RNA transcript from Perca fluviatilis (European perch), 2439 nucleotides. It is a transcript of the gene named eukaryotic translation initiation factor 2D, with no coding region annotated. Lineage: Eukaryota; Metazoa; Chordata; Actinopteri; Perciformes; Percidae. The transcript is spliced from 16 exons. The record is from RefSeq and is a predicted model, not a curated record.
ACGUUCCCGCGGUACAGCUUGACGUCGGACUUAAAUAUGUGUCGGACCACCAUACCCUACGAAUAGCUCAUACUGUAAAGCCAAUAUAAGACUAUUUCGCUGGUGCAGCGGGUUCGUUUGAGAGUUUGUGUGCUGAUAUAAUGAAAACAGUUACAUUAUCUGAGAGAAGUUGAUAAUUUCCUGAAAAGAUGUUUGUCAGACCGUUUCGUGUCAAAUCCAACACCGCAAUCAAAGGAUCAGACAGGAGAAAGCUCAAAGCUGACAUAUCUGGAGCCUUUCCUACGCUGUCUGCUGACGAGCUGUCUGAACUGGUCCCCAACAAAGAGGAAUUAAAUGUGGUGAAGAUUUAUGUACAUAAGGGAGAUUCUGUGACACUUUAUGUUCUUCACAAAAAUCCACUGUUCUUUGAAUUGGAGAAACGACUUUAUCCUACAGUAUAUGUGCUUUGGCGCUACCCUGCUAUCCUGCCGACAUUUAGGACAUGGCCUCCUGUGCUUCAAAAGUUGAUUGGAGGGGCAGAUCUCAUGCUGCCAGGUGUGGUGGCGCCUUCAAGCGGUCUCCCAGAUGUGAAACCGGGCGACUGCUGUUCUGUUACAUUAGUGAACAAUAGAGCUCCUGUUGCAGUUGGUACUGCUGCAGUGUCCAGAGACGAGAUGCACAGUUUGGGUAUGAAAGGGAGAGGAGUGUGUGUUCUCCACGCGUACAUGGAUAAUCUCUGGGCUUUUGGAGACAAGUCAGGUCCUCCUACUUUACCGGAUGCAGAGAGUGAAGGACAAGGGGUGAAUGGAGAGGAAUAUGAGGUUGAUGAGAUGGAGGAGGAGGUUGAGGAGGAGGCUGAGAAGUGUGUGGAGGAGGAGCAGAGUCCCAGUCAAACAGUCACAGAUCAAGCCUGCUCUGGUAUUGAGGAGCUGAGUCUGGCUGAGCAGGAGGAAGAGAAAGGUGAUAAGGGCAAUGAGGAAGAGGAGGGAAACCAGGAUGACCAGAAAAUGCCACAAGAGAUAAUGGACGCCUUGCUGUUGCAGUGUUUUCUCUAUGCUCUCAAGAGCAAAGUGAAAAAGACGGAUCUCCCCCUGCUGACCAGUACAUUUCUCCGCAACCACAUGUUUGCCUGCUGCCCAAGUGGAAAGCAACUUGAUAUCAAGAAAUCCAGCUAUAAAAAGCUGUCCAAGUUUCUACAGGCCAUGCAGAAGCAGCACAACCUUGUGCGAGUGAAAGAACUGACCAAGGGUGUGGAGAGCAUUGUGGAGGUGGACUGGAAAAAUUCAGAACUGCGUUCCUUCAAAGUUCCAGAGGAGACGGAUGUUGAAGCAACUCCGGUGCAGGAUGGAAGGGAAGGAGAACCUCCGUACCACCCCCCUGAGAUCACAACUCUGUACUCUGUGUCAGCUCGACUGGAGCCUCUCUUUCUAGAUGCAAAGAAGAGGAAAGGAACAAUACUGCAGUCUGCUGAAGUGAGACAUAUUGUCACAGAAUAUGUGAAGAAGAAUGAACUGGUGGAUGAAAAUAAUAAGAAUUACGUGACCAUAAACCCUACUCUGUGUGACUGUUUGCUGGAGAAAUCAGAGUACCAGGAGGUCGAGUCUCUCAAGUGGGAUGACCUCUUUAGCAGGUCAUUGGAACGAAUGCAGGAGUGCUAUCAAGUUGUGUUCCCCGGACAAGCACCCGUAAAGAAGAAGGGCCACAUUGAGCCUAUAGACAUCUCUGUGGCUUCUCGAGGCUCCAAUAAGAAGGUGACACUAAUAAAGAACCUGGAAGUGUACGGUUUGGAUCCUGCAGUCGUUGCCACUGCUUUGCAGCGUAGAGUCCAGGCCAGCUCUGUCUUACAGCCCAUCCCUGGGUCCAAGGACAAAGUGCUUGUCCAGAUCCAAGGCAAUCAGAUUCAUCAAGUUGGCAAUUUGCUACUAGAUCAUUAUCAAAUUCCUCGCAAGUACAUCCAAGGACUAGACAAAGCUCCAAAAGGGGGAAAGAAGAAGUAACAUUUCAACCUUUAAAGCUGUUUUACUGUCGGCCAUUCAUAAUAAAUACAGACAGCCGGCAGUGGAGAGAUGACAGGAAAUGAGGGGAGUGAAAGACGAGGAAUGACAUGUAGAAGGUCCCCAGCUGGACGCUGCAGGGGCAUUGUUGCAGGUCUGAGCUUUAACUCCAGGGUCAGUAGAGCACUUCCAUACAGCAAUUCUUAACCUGUAUUUCCACGUUUGCACCUGGAAGCUCCACUGGAACAGAUGAGGAGGAAGGUCAGGGCAAGUGUCUCUCUUCCCCUAGCCCCUUUUAUAUCAUGUUAGUCGCUGUAGAUUGUAAUUAAUUUUAUUAAAGCAGAUACCUUAAAGUCCACAUAAAUGGUUCUCAUUCAACACAUUAACUAGUAUAUUUCAAGAUAUGUAGUUUGUUUGUUCAAAACACUGCAGUAAAUAAAGAAACAUGGAUACAAUAGAAAAUAAA